GAUGAAGGAACGCAGCGAAAUGCGAUAAGUAAUGUGAAUUGCAGAAUUCAGUGAAUCAUCGAAUCUUUGAACGCACAUUGCGCCCGCCAGUAUUCUGGCGGGCAUGCCUGUUCGAGCGUCAUUACAACCCUCAGGCCCCCGGGCCUGGCGUUGGGGAUCGGCGGAGCCCCCCGUGGGCACACGCCGUCCCCCAAAUACAGUGGCGGUCCCGCCGCAGCUUCCAUCGCGUAGUAGCUAACACCUCGCGACUGGAGAGCGGCGCGGCCACGCCGUAAAACACCCAACUCUUCUGAAGUUGACCUCGAAUCAGGUAGGAAUACCCGCUGAACUUAAGCAUAUCAAUAAGCGGAGGA
This 353-nucleotide unclassified non-coding RNA is filed under the name soil metagenome. Its description in RNAcentral is "partial contains 5.8S ribosomal RNA, internal transcribed spacer 2, and large subunit ribosomal RNA". The stretch from base 1 to 121 matches the Rfam family "5.8S ribosomal RNA", at positions 35 to 154 of the family's 154-position model. The record is from RNAcentral.